Molecule: ribosomal RNA, 442 nt
Filed under: uncultured prokaryote
Description: bacterial SSU rRNA
Rfam family: Bacterial small subunit ribosomal RNA
Source: RNAcentral
GACCGGCGCACGGGUGAGUAACGCGUAUGUAAUCUGCCUUGGACGGSGGAUAGCCCAGAGAAAUUUGGAUUAAUACCUCAUAGUAUUACUGAAUCGCAUGAUUUGGUAAUUAAAGCUCCGGCGGUACAAGAUGAACAUGCGUGACAUUAGCUAGUUGGUAAGGUAACGGCUUACCAAGGCUACKAUGUCUAGGGGUUCUGARAGGAUGAUCCCCCACACUGGUACUGAGACACGGACCAGACUCCUACGGGAGGCAGCAGUGAGGAAUAUUGGUCAAUGGACGCAAGUCUGAACCAUCCAUCCCGCGUGAAGGAUGACUGCCCUAUGGGUUGUAAACUUCUUUUAUAUGCAAAUAAACCUACUUUCGUGAAAGUACUUGAAGGUACAUAUGAAUAAACACCGGCUAACUCCGUGCCAGCACCGCGGUAUACGGAGGGUGUAA